RNAcentral lists this unclassified non-coding RNA (502 nucleotides) under Gazania tenuifolia. RNAcentral describes it as "partial external transcribed spacer". The record is from RNAcentral. Lineage: Eukaryota; Viridiplantae; Streptophyta; Magnoliopsida; Asterales; Asteraceae.
CGUAGCUUAAUUGUUUCUCGCAUCGUUCGGUGCAUUUUUGGGAUCGCUCUGGCUUUUGGUUGCUUGCUUGCAUUUGUGCUAUGUGGGUGGCUACUAGUCGGGUGGUUUCGGGAAAUGUUUACCGUAAAGGUGCAUGAGUGGUGUUUGGUUUGUUACGGGUGGUUGGAUGUCUUCUUGCGAAGCAACUUCCAUGCGUGCUUACCUCUUCAUUUACGUAGCAAGGCUUGUUAUAGACUUGCUCGUAUUGUGGGUUUCCUGUGUUGCGUACCUAAUCAAGGGCAUUGUAUGACUGAUUGAAUCUUUUUCCGUCACGCAUCGCACUUGUGGUGCAAGACGGACCAGUAAGUGGUCUCCGUAAUCCAUCUCGUCCUUGUAAACACUUCGGCAAUGUGGCUUGCUGAGUUUCGCUUGGUGUCUYGGAUAUGGAACCUGAUGUGGGCAUGGGGUCUUAAAUGAUCCUUUUAUGUCCUCGUUUAGUGUUCUCACUUCUCUAAAACGAUCA